This 421-nucleotide ribosomal RNA is filed under the name uncultured archaeon. RNAcentral describes it as "partial 16S ribosomal RNA". It matches the Rfam family "Archaeal small subunit ribosomal RNA", at positions 323 to 746 of the family's 1478-position model. The record is from RNAcentral.
CUACGGGUGGCUCCAGUUAGGAAUAUUCUGCAAUGUACGAAAGUAUGACAGAUUGAGUCAGAGUGCUUUUCAUAUGAAAAGCUUUUGCCAAAUGUAAAAAGUUUGGCGAAUAAGGACUGGGUAAGACGGGUGCCAGCCGCCGCGGUAAUACCCGCGGUCCAAGUCGCAGCCAUCAUUAUUGGGUCUAAAACAUCCGUAGCUUGCUUGGUAAGUUUCUUGUGAAAUUCUAUAUCUCAAAUAUGGAGCGGGCAAGAAGUACUGUCAAGCUAGAGACUGGAAGACGUAAGAAGUACGUUUGGAGUAGCGGUAAAAUGUGUUAAUCCCAGACGGACUAACAACAGCGAAGGCAUCUUACGAGGACAGUUCUGACAGUAAGGGAUGAAGGCUAGGGGCGCGAAAAGGAUUAGAUACCCUCGUAGUC